RNAcentral lists this ribosomal RNA (496 nucleotides) under uncultured bacterium. RNAcentral's name for it is "partial 16S ribosomal RNA". It matches the Rfam family "Bacterial small subunit ribosomal RNA", at positions 29 to 507 of the family's 1533-position model. The record is from RNAcentral.
AUGCACGCUGGCGGCGUGCCUAAUACAUGCAAGUCGAGCGAACAGAUGAGGAGCUUGCUCCUCUGACGUUAGCGGCGGACGGGUGAGUAACACGUGGAUAACCUACCUAUAAGACUGGGAUAACUUCGGGAAACCGGAGCUAAUACCGGAUAAUAUAUUGAACCGCAUGGUUCAAUAGUGAAAGACGGUUUUGCUGUCACUUAUAGAUGGAUCCGCGCCGCAUUAGCUAGUUGGUAAGGUAACGGCUUACCAAGGCAACGAUGCGUAGCCGACCUGAGAGGGUGAUCGGCCACACUGGAACUGAGACACGGUCCAGACUCCUACGGGAGGCAGCAGUAGGGAAUCUUCCGCAAUGGGCGAAAGCCUGACGGAGCAACGCCGCGUGAGUGAUGAAGGCCUUCGGAUCGUAAAACUCUGUUAUUAGGGAAGAACAAAUGUGUAAGUAACUAUGCACGUCUUGACGGUACCUAAUCAGAAAGCCACGGCUAACUACGUG